CCCCGGCCCCGCUCCUUCGCCUCCGACGGUUUCCCCUUGUCCACACGCACCUUUAUCUCGUUCUCUCUCCCGUCGCCUGCGCUCAUCCUCUACAGAAAAAAAAUCGAGAAAACAACCACCCAUGUCUGCGAUCUGCCUACUCCACCCAUGCCCAUGGCCGCCCCCGACGCAAUAGCUCAGCCCCACCCUUGCACACGGAUUCGGCCACGCCCAACCUGCCCUGCUCUAGCUGCCCGUUUAAUUUCGCUGCCAAGAAACUACCGCCAUGGAGGUGCGCCCCUUCAUCAGAUCCAGUGAGGAGGUGCCUCGGCCAAAGAGAAAGCAGCCAGGCACUCGCCCUCCAUAAAUCCGGCGAGGAGGCGCAGUGCCCACAAUAGUGGUCGUGAUGGUGGCUAGGAGAGCUUGGCAACCAUCUACCUGGUGACACUGGAGGUGGAGAUCAGACGUUCGCCUAGCUGUGGACUUCGACAACGUGCGUGUUUGUGAAGCUGUUGCCGCUGAUUCAGUACUGGGCUCAGAUGCGUCAAGAUUGGCGCGAAUGAUCAUACAUUGGCAGUUGAGGCAUGGAAGGGGCUCUAUCAGAGCAUCAGGUCAACACAGAACGCCAAUGGUAGAUGUGAUAUGGCAAGCCACAAAGAAGGAAAAAAGAGUGUUCAGAUAUUGCUUAAUGCGAAAAUAGAGGUAUUUUUCAGUUGCAAAUUGCAUAGUGUCGUCAACUGGAUGCAUAGUUUCUAUCUUUCAUGGUAACAUGAGCUUCUGAAACUAUCAUUGUAGCUUCAACCGUCAAACUGGAGUUGUCUUAAUUUAGAUUAACUGUCCCAAGUUAAACACCAAAUAGUUAGAAAUGUCUAGGUACUGAAGAAUUAUCGUGCGGUUCUACAUAAAGUUUCAUAGCCAAUGGACCAGCUAUGUCAUUUAUAAAUAUGGUGAAAAAGAAAAGAACAUACUGAACUCUGGUCACUGGUACAACUGAAAUUUCGCUCUAUGAUGCUAGAUAAAUCUAAGAACAAGCACUUUCUAGACCUUUUUUUUCUUUUAAAUCAUGUGGAUGGUUUAAUAACAUGUGUUUGAGAAAAUAUCAGAGUGCUUGAGAAAUUAUGAUGUUCCCGUAGCAGACAACUACUUUCUCUUUAUGUUAAGCCUUCUGCUAAUUCAGGAUAAGUAGACAUUAGCAUGCAUGAUAAGCCUAUAUAGUAGUAUCCUGCUAAUUCAUGGAUUGCUUAAGCAGUUAAUAGCUUUUUUAGAGAUCUGAAUUUUCGUGAGCUCUAUUGUCCUUGCCCUACCCCAAUCCACGGCCAGCAGAUCACCGAGCUAGAAGGAAUGUCGAGGUUCGUGCCCAUGCCCAUCGUCCUCGCCUUAUGCUCGCACUACACCGCUGCCUGUACCAAAUGCACACUGGGUGCCCGCGCCUCAAGGCCCAACGUGACAUGCUCGACGCCGCCAUCAAGGAGAUCGUUCAUCUAGGCAUCCGAAAGUUUUCUGUGAUUUUCUAGCCAAUUAUGAGAUUGAGAUGCAACAGUAUCAAGUUGACUUUAUAGUUCUACCUUUUUAUGUGGUGCAAACCUGAAAUAACUUGGAAUAUUUGUAUCUCUAAAUAAAUUUAUUAAAAAACUAGAUUCAAGGAUCUCUCUGAUGAUA
This is a long non-coding RNA of Sorghum bicolor (sorghum), 1638 nucleotides long. RefSeq lists it as uncharacterized. The transcript has 3 exons. Lineage: Eukaryota; Viridiplantae; Streptophyta; Magnoliopsida; Poales; Poaceae. The record is from RefSeq and is a predicted model, not a curated record.